GGAGGGUGCGAGCGUUGUCCGGAAUCAUUGGGCGUAAAGGGCGCGUAGGUGGCCCAGUCAGCGUGCGGUGAAAGCUCGGGGCUCAACCCCGAGUCGGCCGUGCGAACUGCUGGGCUCGAGCACUGUAGAGGCAGGCGGAAUUCCGGGUGUAGCGGUGGAAUGCGUAGAGAUCCGGAAGAACACCGGUGGCGAAGGCGGCCUGCUGGGCAGUAGCUGACACUGAGGCGCGACAGCGUGGGGAGCAAACAGGAUUAGAUACCCUGGUAGUCCACGCCGUAAACGAUGGGCACUAGGCGCUUGGGGGAGCGACCCCCCGAGGGCCGGCGCUAACGCAUUAAGUGCCCCGCCUGGGGAGUACGGCCGCAAGGCUG
RNAcentral lists this ribosomal RNA (371 nucleotides) under uncultured bacterium. RNAcentral describes it as "bacterial SSU rRNA". It matches the Rfam family "Bacterial small subunit ribosomal RNA", at positions 527 to 896 of the family's 1533-position model. The record is from RNAcentral.